RNAcentral lists this ribosomal RNA (253 nucleotides) under uncultured bacterium. RNAcentral's name for it is "partial 16S ribosomal RNA". It matches the Rfam family "Bacterial small subunit ribosomal RNA", at positions 524 to 776 of the family's 1533-position model. The record is from RNAcentral.
GACAGAGGUCCCGAGCGUUGUUCGGAUUCAUUGGGCGUAAAGGGUGUGUAGGAGGUCGGGUAAGUCAGGUGUGAAAUCUCACAGCUUAACUGUGAAACUGCGCUUGAUACUGCCCGGCUAGAGGAUCGGAGGGGGUAACGGAAUUCAUGGUGUAGCAGUGAAAUGCGUAGAUAUCAUGAGGAACACCGGUGGCGAAGGCGGUUACCUGGAAGAUUCCUGACUCUGAAACACGAAAGCCAGGGGAGCAAACGGG